UCUGGACCACUGGACCGCUGAUUGCAUAGGUGAUCCAAUUCAGCUGGGCCAUUCGGACGGCCCAGUCACCGGGUCCGUUGGCCACGAAAUUUCUCCGGUGCACUUCCGCCGAAGCGCCGCCGCUCCACUUCCUCUGCGAGCCCCAACCGCCGCCGGGCGCGGGGGGCCGCCGUUCUCGCGCUCCCGACGCGGCCAUGGCUUGCCCCCACCUCGCCCUCCGGCUCCGCCGCCUUCUCGCGGCCGCGCCUGUUUCCUUGCUCGCGGGCGCCCACUCUACAAAGCACUCCUCUCCACCAUUAAAUCCCAGUACACUGCUGACACCGCGGCGGCGGCAUCCCCCGAUCCUCCCUGCGCGACGGCUCUACUCCACCACGCACGUCGUGCUCCCUACCAAUCUCCAGGACGAGCGCUUCGGGGUGCUCUCGGAUAGGAUCUACGACGCCGUGAUCGAGACGGCGGAGGGGUCCAGCGAGGGCACGGAGGCGGCCCUCGACGCGCUGCACGCCGAGCUGACCACCCCGCUCGUGGCCGACGUGCUGCAUCGCCUCCGCUACGAAGAGAAGCUGGCCUUCCGGUUCUUCGUCUGGGCCUCUCACCAGGACGGCUACGAGCACGAGGCGGCGAUGUACAACGACGUCAUCGACAUCCUCUGCGGCACGCGGUACAAGGCCCGCCAGUUCGGCGUCCUCUGCGACGUGCUCGACCACAUGAAGCGCCAUCGCACAAGGUCCGUGCCGGUCGACGACUUGUUGGGUAUCCUGCGAGCAUACACGGAGAAGCACCUCACGCACCUCAGGAAGCUGGCCAAAAAGCGGCGGGUGCGGAUGCGCACGCCGCCGGAGACCGACGCGCUGAACGUGCUGUUGGACGGUUUCUGCAAGUGCGGGAUGGUUAGGGAGGCGGAGGCGGUGUUCAGCCGCGUGAAGAGGAAGUUGCUGGGGAAUGCUGAAACAUACAGUAUCUUGUUCUUCGGGUGGUGCCGGGCAAGGGACCCCAAGAGGGCCAUGAAGGUGCUCGAGGAAAUGAUUGAGAUGAAACACACCCCGGAGAACUUUACUUACAAUUCUGCCAUUGACUCAUUUUGCAGUGCUGGUUUGGUCUCAGAGGCAAGGGAGUUGUUUGAGUUCAUGAGAACAGAGGGGUCGACGAUAUCAUCGCCCACGGCUAAGACAUACUCGAUUAUGAUUGUGGCACUAGCAAAGGCCGGUCAGAUGGAGGAGUGCUUUGAACUUAUUUCAGAUAUGAGAAAAUGUGGCUGUAUGCCUGAUGUAUCGACAUACAAAGACUUGAUUGAAGGCAUGUGCUUGGUGGGUAAACUGGAUGCUGCUUAUUGUGUCUUAGAGGAGAUGGCAAAGGCUGGGUUUCCUCCUGAUAUUGUAACUUACAAUUGCUUUCUGAAGGUGCUUUGUAGUCUUCAAAAGGCUGAUGAUGCGCUUGAACUAUGUGAAAGGAUGAUAGAUGCUCAUUGUGAGCCUAGUGUUCAUACUUAUAAUAUGUUGAUGGUGAUGUUCUUUGAGAUGGGAGAGCCAGAUAGGGCAAUCAAUAUUUGGAUUGAAAUGGACAAUAGAGGAUGCCAUCGUGCUGUUGAUACCUAUGAAACAAUGAUUGAUGGGUUGUUUGAUUCUGGAAGAACGGAAGAUGCAACCAGUCUUCUAGAUGAGGUAAUAAACCGUGGCAUGAAACUUUCGUACAAGAAGUUUGACGCUAUCAUGCUGCAGUUAUCAGCUGUAGGCAACCUUGGCGCGAUACAUCGGCUGUCAGAGCAUAUGAGGAGAUUUUACAAUGUUGCGAUGUCAAGGCGUUUUGCAAUCACACAGAAGAAGAAGAGCAUAGGUCUGAGAAGGAAAUGAGUGUUCUGAGAUUUCUUCUUAGUGCUGGUGAUCAAUACUUAUUAUCAGGAUGGUUGAUAAAUGUGUCCGCACACAAUUUAACAGUGCGAAAACUUCAUGAACUCCAUUUUCUGCUAAAGAAAACCAGUACUGUGAGUGUUUUCAUAUCACAAGAACAUAAAACCUAUGCAUAUUCCUUGAGCCAGAAUAGAGAGGCGUAUGACUGGAUUUCAUUGCAUUAAACAUGCUAUUCCACAUCACCUCCCUUGGCUUUAUGCAACAUUUCCCCAAAAAUGAAUUAUGGACUGGACUCUUUUGAGAUCUCAUCUUCUCAGGGGAUAUGUGAUUGACAGUUUUUCACAGAGUCACAGAAAGCAGAAUAUGUUACUCCUAUGGGAUGGAUUGAGCACUUCGGAUACCAUCCAUCGCGCCGGUGCAGGCGAAAUACUCUGAACCUGAGGACUCGUGAACAAAUGGGCAAGUGCGCCGGAUGCCGCCGAGUUUUCAUGAGUUCCGAGGUAAAUAUGGCUGCUUGUGGCUGGAAAGAUCUCUGUGCCAAGUGAUCUCCACCAUCUCAUUCAUUGCAUGAUUCUCUGAGCCAUGCGUAGCCAUCAGAUCUCACAGUGUACAUCAGUACACUGUUCAUAAACGCGGCGUGCCUGUUCCUUUGGCUGGCUAUGUCUUUUUUCCCAGAGGAAUCACUGUUUCUCCGGUGGUGAAAGUACCACGCACGCAAGCAGGAAACGAAACGGGAUUUGCCACCUUAUUUUGCGGUAUAAAUUCCCUAAUCAUGCAGCAUUACCGUCCCCUGUACUGCCACCGUCAACAAGGAACAAAGAGAUGUUCCACCCCAUUACCCCAAAAGACCAAAAGACCAAAAACAAACAGUUACAGACACAUGUUUUGACUGGCCUUUGUUUAGCGUGGAGCCCUGCAAUGUCGACGCGACCAGAGAAGAAGCCCCCUGCAAUGUCACGUUGGAUGCGAGCCCUCCGACGACGACGCCGCCGAAACUUUGCACUCACUGACUCACCGUCUCGCCGGAUGGUGGAAAUUUUUGUCGGCGGGGAAAGCGAGCGCACAAGGUCGAGUUGCCCGCGGCGAGCUUGGCUUUGCCCGCGUUGUUCUGUAGCGAAGCAGAUCGUGGCGUCGGGCCCCGGCUGUCGGUCGGCGGCGUGGUUGUACGGUGAGGGCUGCAUGUGAGGGGGAGCGGCCAUGCUGUGUGAAUCUGCAUUAGUUAAGGUCAUGUUUAGUUUUCAAAAUUUUUCAAAAACAUCACAUCGAAUCUUUACACACUUAAAUAAAGUAUUAAAUA
RNA transcript from Oryza brachyantha (malo sina), 3144 nucleotides. It is a transcript of the gene named pentatricopeptide repeat-containing protein At1g73400, mitochondrial-like, with no coding region annotated. Lineage: Eukaryota; Viridiplantae; Streptophyta; Magnoliopsida; Poales; Poaceae. The transcript is spliced from 4 exons. The record is from RefSeq and is a predicted model, not a curated record.